RNAcentral lists this ribosomal RNA (468 nucleotides) under uncultured bacterium. RNAcentral's name for it is "partial 16S ribosomal RNA". It matches the Rfam family "Bacterial small subunit ribosomal RNA", at positions 28 to 507 of the family's 1533-position model. The record is from RNAcentral.
GACGAACGCUGGCGGCGUGCUUAACACAUGCAAGUCGAACGGAAAGGCCCUGCUUUUGUGGGGUGCUCGAGUGGCGAACGGGUGAGUAACACGUGAGUAACCUGCCCUUGACUUUGGGAUAACUUCAGGAAACUGGGGCUAAUACCGGAUAGGAGCUCCUGCUGCAUGGUGGGGGUUGGAAAGUUUCGGCGGUUGGGGAUGGACUCGCGGCUUAUCAGCUUGUUGGUGGGGUAGUGGCCUACCAAGGCUUUGACGGGUAGCCGGCCUGAGAGGGUGACCGGCCACAUUGGGACUGAGGUACGGCCCAGACUCCUACGGGAGGCAGCAGUGGGGAAUAUUGCACAAUGGGCGGAAGCCUGAUGCAGCCACGCCGCGUGCGGGAUGACGGCCUUCGGGUUGUAAACCGCUUUCGCCUGUGACGAAGCGUGAGUGACGGUAAUGGGUAAAGAAGCACCGGCUAACUACGUG